GCCGGGUGUGGUGGCGCACACCUGUAAUCCCAGAGGCUUGGAAGGCGGAGGCAGGAGGAUCGCAAGUCCAAAGCCAGCCUCAGCAAUUUGGCAAGGUGCUAAGCAACUCAGUGAGAACCCUGUCUCUA
Molecule: small RNA, 128 nt
Filed under: Marmota monax (woodchuck)
Lineage: Eukaryota; Metazoa; Chordata; Mammalia; Rodentia; Sciuridae
Source: RNAcentral